UUUCCGUAGGUGAACCUGCGGAAGGAUCAUUACAGAGUUCAUGCCCGAAAGGGUAGACCUCCCACCCUUGUGUAUUAUUACUUUGUUGCUUUGGCGAGCGCAAGCCCGCCAGAGAAUACCAAAACUCUUUUUAUUAAUGUCGUCUGAGUACUAUAUAAUAGUUAAAACUUUCAACAACGGAUCUCUUGGUUCUGACAUCGAUGAAGAACGCAGC
Molecule: unclassified non-coding RNA, 214 nt
Filed under: plant metagenome
Description: partial contains small subunit ribosomal RNA, internal transcribed spacer 1, and 5.8S ribosomal RNA
Rfam family: 5.8S ribosomal RNA (bases 166-214)
Source: RNAcentral